Molecule: ribosomal RNA, 497 nt
Filed under: uncultured bacterium
Lineage: Bacteria
Description: partial 16S ribosomal RNA
Rfam family: Bacterial small subunit ribosomal RNA
Source: RNAcentral
GAUGAACGCUGGCGGCGUGCCUAAUACAUGCAAGUCGAGCGAACGGACGAGAAGCUUGCUUCUCUGAUGUUAUCGGCGGACGGGUGAGUAACACGUGGAUAACCUACCUAUAAGACUGGGAUAACUUCGGGAAACCGGAGCUAAUACCGGAUGAUAUUUUGAACCGCAUGGUUCAAAAGUGAAAGACGGUCUUGCUGUCACUUAUAGAUGGAUCCGCGCUGCAUUAGCUAGUUGGUAAGGUAACGGCUUACCAAGGCAACGAUGCAUAGCCGACCUGAGAGGGUGAUCGGCCACACUGGAACUGAGACACGGUCCAGACUCCGACGGGAGGCAGCAGUAGGGAAUCUUCCGCAAUGGGCGAAAGCCUGACGGAGCAACGCCGCGUGAGUGAUGAAGGUCUUCGGAUCGUAAAACUCUGUUAUUAGGGAAGAACAUAUGUGUAAGUAACUGUGCACAUCUUGACGGUACCUAAUCAGAAAGCCACGGCUAACUACGUG